AGGCAGCAGUGGGGAAUAUUGGACAAUGGGCGAAAGCCUGAUCCAGCCAUGCCGCGUGUGUGAAGAAGGCCUUUUGGUUGUAAAGCACUUUAAGCGAGGAGGAGGCUACUUGGAUUAAUACUCUAGGAUAGUGGACGUUACUCGCAGAAUAAGCACCGGCUAACUCUGUGCCAGCAGCCGCGGUAACACAGAGGGUGCGAGCGUUAAUCGGAUUUACUGGGCGUAAAGCGUGCGUAGGCGGCUUUUUAAGUCGGAUGUGAAAUCCCCUGAGCUUAACUUAGGAAUUGCAUUCGAUACUGGGAAGCUAGAGUAUGGGAGAGGAUGGUAGAAUUCCAGGUGUAGCGGUGAAAUGCGUAGAGAUCUGGAGGAAUACCGAUGGCGAAGGCAGCCAUCUGGCCUAAUACUGACGCUGAGGUACGAAAGCAUGGGGAGCAAACAGGAUUAGAUACCCUGGUAGUCCAUGCCGUAAACGAUGUCUACUAGCCGUUGGGGCCUUUGAGGCUUUAGUGGCGCAGCUAACGCGAUAAGUAGACCGCCUGGGGAGUACGGUCGCAAGACUAAAACUCAAAUGAAUUGACGGGGG
This 583-nucleotide ribosomal RNA is filed under the name uncultured Acinetobacter sp. RNAcentral's name for it is "bacterial SSU rRNA". It matches the Rfam family "Bacterial small subunit ribosomal RNA", at positions 346 to 919 of the family's 1533-position model. Lineage: Bacteria; Pseudomonadati; Pseudomonadota; Gammaproteobacteria; Moraxellales; Moraxellaceae. The record is from RNAcentral.